UUGAACGCUGGCGGAAUGCUUUACACAUGCAAGUCGAGCGGCAGCGCGGGGGCAACCCUGGCGGCGAGCGGCGAACGGGUGAGUAAUGCAUCGGAACGUACCCAGUCGUGGGGGAUAACUACGCGAAAGCGUAGCUAAUACCGCAUACGUCCUGAGGGAGAAAGCGGGGGAUCUUCGGACCUCGCGCGAUUGGAGCGGCCGAUGUCGGAUUAGCUAGUAGGUGAGGUAAAGGCUCACCUAGGCGACGAUCCGUAGCGGGUCUGAGAGGAUGAUCCGCCACACUGGGACUGAGACACGGCCCAGACUCCUACGGGAGGCAGCAGUGGGGAAUUUUGGACAAUGGGCGCAAGCCUGAUCCAGCCAUGCCGCGUGAGUGAAGAAGGCCUUCGGGUUGUAAAGCUCUUUCGGCCGGGAAGAAAUCGUGGUCUCUAACAUAGGCCAUGGAUGACGGUACCGGACUAAGAAGCACCGGCUAACUACGU
This 482-nucleotide ribosomal RNA is filed under the name uncultured bacterium. RNAcentral's name for it is "bacterial SSU rRNA". It matches the Rfam family "Bacterial small subunit ribosomal RNA", at positions 29 to 506 of the family's 1533-position model. The record is from RNAcentral.